CCUGUUGAGCAUGACUCUAGUCUGGCACUGUGAAUGGGAGGCCCCAUGGUUAUGCAACUCAGGACAUGGUCCAGUUACCAGUGAAAUACUACUGAUCAUUUUUUCCACUUACCCAGUGAGGUGUGUGGCAGGGCAAGCCCCAAAGGGCUCUCACUUCCGAUGCCAAGUGCCUGGCAUGACCUGCUCCAGGGACAGUGUCAGGUAGGCAGUUUGACUGGGGCAGUACACCUGUCAAACCAUAACACAGGUGUCCUAAGGGAGCUCAGGGAGGACAGAAGCUUCCCACAGAGCAGAAGAUCAAGGCUUGAUCUUGAUUUUCAGUACAAAUAUCAUCCAUGAAAGCAGGGCCUCACAAUCCUUUGACUUUUUGGGUUUUAAGCAGGCAUCCAGGAGACAGUGGAUGAGGAACUCCGGGCAUGAAUCUCCACAGG
This 431-nucleotide non-coding RNA is filed under the name Cathartes aura (turkey vulture). RNAcentral's name for it is "Eukaryotic large subunit ribosomal RNA". It matches the Rfam family "Eukaryotic large subunit ribosomal RNA", at positions 2412 to 2795 of the family's 3401-position model. The record is from Rfam by way of RNAcentral. Lineage: Eukaryota; Metazoa; Chordata; Aves; Accipitriformes; Cathartidae.